GUCUAUGGCCAUACCACCCUGAACAUGCCUGAUCUUGCUUGAUCUCAGAAGCUAAGCAGGGUUGGGCCUGGUUAGCACUUGGAUGGGAGAUAUUAAGAGGGAAGGGGGAGAUAGAAA
This 117-nucleotide ribosomal RNA is filed under the name Erinaceus europaeus (western European hedgehog). The record is from RNAcentral. Lineage: Eukaryota; Metazoa; Chordata; Mammalia; Eulipotyphla; Erinaceidae.